Mesocricetus auratus (golden hamster) is the source of this 118-nucleotide small nucleolar RNA. Its record names the gene SNORA70. It matches the Rfam family "Small nucleolar RNA SNORA70". From Rfam's summary of the family: snoRNA U70 seems to be exclusive to mammals and is a member of the H/ACA class of snoRNA which contain H (ANANNA) and ACA box motifs. NCBI's taxonomy places the organism in Eukaryota, Metazoa, Chordata, Mammalia, Rodentia, Cricetidae. The record is from Ensembl.
CUGCAGCCAAUUAAGCCAACCAGGAAGGUCCCUUUGCACCCUAGGGGACCUGGCAUGCAAUGGUUGCAAAUAGCAGCCUUUGCCCAUGUGGUUGUCCAAAAGGAAGUUGGAAACAAUU